CAAACGACUCUCGGCAACGGAUAUCUCGGCUCUCGCAUCGAUGAAGAACGUAGCGAAAUGCGAUACUUGGUGUGAAUUGCAGAAUCCCGUGAACCAUCGAGUCUUUGAACNNAAGUUGCGCCNGAAGCCAUUAGGCCGAGGGCACGCCUGNCUGGGCGUCACGC
RNAcentral lists this ribosomal RNA (164 nucleotides) under Valeriana nivalis. RNAcentral describes it as "5.8S ribosomal RNA". It matches the Rfam family "5.8S ribosomal RNA". From Rfam's summary of the family: 5.8S ribosomal RNA (5.8S rRNA) is a component of the large subunit of the eukaryotic ribosome. It is transcribed by RNA polymerase I as part of the 45S precursor that also contains 18S and 28S rRNA. Functionally, it is thought that 5.8S rRNA may be involved in ribosome translocation. Lineage: Eukaryota; Viridiplantae; Streptophyta; Magnoliopsida; Dipsacales; Caprifoliaceae. The record is from RNAcentral.